Molecule: ribosomal RNA, 311 nt
Filed under: uncultured Phyllobacterium sp.
Lineage: Bacteria; Pseudomonadati; Pseudomonadota; Alphaproteobacteria; Hyphomicrobiales; Phyllobacteriaceae
Description: bacterial SSU rRNA
Rfam family: Bacterial small subunit ribosomal RNA
Source: RNAcentral
GUGCCAGCAGCUGCGGUAAUACGAAGGGGGCUAGCGUUGUUCGGAUUUACUGGGCGUAAAGCGCACGUAGGCGGACUUUUAAGUCAGGGGCGAAAUCCCGGGGCUCAACCCCGGAACUGCCUUUGAUACUGGAAGUCUUGAGUUCGAGAGAGGUGAGUGGAAUUGCGAGUGUAGAGGUGAAAUUCGUAGAUAUUCGCAGGAACACCAGUGGCGAAGGCGGCUCACUGGCUCGAUACUGACGCUGAGGUGCGAAAGCGUGGGAGACAAACGAGGAUUAGACUAACCCUGGUAGUACCACGACCGUAAACUAU